AUGGCAGUAGCUCAGUGGUAGAGCUCUCGCAGAUCUCUCGCGGGAAGGUCUGGGUUCGAUUCCCGGUUGCUUUC
This 74-nucleotide transfer RNA is filed under the name Toxocara canis (dog roundworm). It matches the Rfam family "tRNA". Rfam says of the family: Transfer RNA (tRNA) molecules are approximately 80 nucleotides in length. Their secondary structure includes four short double-helical elements and three loops (D, anti-codon, and T loops). Lineage: Eukaryota; Metazoa; Nematoda; Chromadorea; Rhabditida; Toxocaridae. The record is from Rfam by way of RNAcentral.